AAUGAUUGUGAUCGAUAGAGAUCUGUGGAGUUUGCCUAUCUGUGAUCCGUCUGUGAAAGUGGGCUAUCGGGCCGCUGAUGUUGGUUAUCUAUGGUCGAGCGACAGUUGAUGGUUACGGGGAAGGGGACUUGACAUGAGCGGAAGGUGUUACGGUGUGUUGAUCGCGAGUUAUUUAAAAACAAAGGGCGUGUACUGAAUAAAAGCUGUAGCAAGAUGACUAACUGCGUGUGGACUGCGACAAAUUUAUGAUAUUUUUAAGUAUAUGUGAAAACUUAUAAUGCAAUGUGAAAUACGGGGAAUGGGAGAGAUGGCAGAAGCGGGCCAGGCGAAUACAGACACGUUGCCCAAACCAGGCCGUGUGAAUGAAGUGUGUCGUGAGUGGCUGGUCAAGGAGGAUGGAGCACUGGCCUACCAACUGCAGACUGAGGAAAUCAAACACCACUACACAGGCAACAAGUCUCGAAAUGCUCUGGUGCGGCAGGACUUCCCCCACGCCCUGGAUGAGCAGCGUCGUGAAGAGAAGGAGGCCGCUUCUCUGCGGGCCAUGUACCAUCAGAUGGUCCAUCAACAGGAGCAGGUCGAUGCCCAGGUAGCUAAGCAACUGGCUGAGAAAAUGGAGCGUGAAGAAUUGGAACGGCGACAAGCUCUGGAGGAGGGGGACCAGGAGAUUGCUCGAAAGCUACAACCAGACUCUUCCUCAGAUGUCGCAGCCGAAGAGGGAGAGGAACGUGAACGACUUCGUAUUGAGAGGUUUGAAAGGGAACGCCUGUCGAUGCAAGCAUCAACUGACGGCAGCAUUGAACACCCGCAGUAUGAUCGAGACAUGAAUAAUGUUGGGCUGCCUUCUCCAUCCCAGUACAGCCCAGAUUCUCUCUCUCAGCAGUUCAGACUCUGCACCUUGACAGAUGCAGCUGUCCAGACCAAUAGCAUCUGCCAGUCCCCUGAAGAGGUACUUCUUGUCAACCCACCGUCACCUGCAGGACUCAGCGAGGAGGAGGCAAGGAGAAUACAGGAAGAGCAGGAUGCUGAGUUUGCUCGCCUCCUGCAGGAACAGGAGGGGUCCCGACAGUUGGACAUGUUAGAUCAGGACAGACUGAUUGCCAUUGAAGCUCAGGACAAGGAAUUAGCACGACUACUGCAAGAGCGGGAGCGGGCGAAAGCUAAGCGAGCACGAGAGCGAGCCAAGCAGAAAGCUCUCCUGAAAAAGCAACAGCAGCUGUUGUCAGAUGAUGAGGGCUUUGUGGCUUCUCCUUCUGUGCAUGGCUGCCUUCUGCCAAGCAGUCAGUGGUCUGAGCAGGAUGGACUAAUUACUGCUCACUCCACUGCCGUUCGUCCCACUGACCUUGACCUGACCUCCGGAGCCAGUAGAUCAGCAAGUAGAGGCAGGCAGAGGUUUCCAGACCCAGAAGCAAUAGAUGUACUGCCGUCCCCUGAGCCUGGACCCUCUCAUUCUGCGUUGCCCAACAUUGCCAUGGCCAUAGACCCCACAUAUCCUCGCAGAGCUACCAUUACACACACAAGCACAUACAACACCUCAGUAGUGGACCCCCCACCCAGUAACAUUUCUAGCCCUGCCGUCUCUCUGCCACCUCCAGAGUUUGAUGAUGAAGAUGAUGAUAGUCCAGUGCCACCUUACAUGCCAAUACAGGGUCAGCGGAGGUCAGCAUCCCUUGAGAAAAAAAACAAGAAAGGACGUAGCAAGGAUAGCUGCAAACAGCAGUAACCAGCUUUAAGGGAGAAGCAAUACACAUGGCCCUUUCUUAUAGGAGUGUCUUAUUUGGUCUGCAAAUGUGUAUUCACCUCCUUCCAUAAUUUCACCUUGAAGACAGAACUGAAGGUGCCUACAAAUGUUUUCCAGCUAAGUACGAUGCGAGUCACAGAACCUUUGAAAUGAAGAUUUCUGUCACUGCUGUGAGAACCUCAAAUCUUACGAACCUUUAAAGCGUUGGUGACUACCAUGAGAUAACUUUACUGUUGAAGAAGUAGAUACUUUAUGAAAAUCUGAAUCUGUACUAUGAAGUAAUUAUUUCUGAACAGUGACUUCGGAUAGCUGAAAAUUGCCAAGAAAUGUGUAGUUCUUCUCAGCGUUGUGAACUUUGAAUACUGUUUUGAGAUUAGUACACGAUCCUGCCAGUCACUAUUUAUUCAUUCCAUUUCAAAACUUUUGAAGAUGAGAAUUUUCUUCAGGUGCCAGUCUGUAGCCUUGGAGAUUGAAGCUCAUUUCUUACCUCAUAGUAAAAUUAAUGAGAUUGACAUUUAUUCCUUCCAUGGUGCAUUAUUACUGUGAUGAAGGAAAGUUUACUUUCACUGAACCUCACGCCUGUGUCUUGAAGUACGUAGAAUUUAUACAUCUGUUUAAAACAGGUGGAUUAUUGUUCUAUAUAGCAACUUGAUAUUUUUGAAAGUUUAAUUCCAGAGCCUAAGUAUAUAUUUUUAAGCUUUGGAAGCCUUUUUUAUGAUACAUGACACUAGCACUGCCAGAGCAGAUAUUUGUGCCUAAGAGGUUAAUUUUCUCCCUUGUCAGCAUGUUGUGGCUCAUGUAUAGUAUAAGAGAACUUGAAUGUUGCUACAAGCAUCCAUUUUGCUUUUACUCAUAGCCUAUGGCAGUAUUUCCAUUUUCUUGACCUUCCUUUUGUAUCAGUUCUCUUAUUUUUUGUUGUAUUUUAUUUCUUGAUAUAUUUAUAAAUUAUUGUUGUAAUGUAGUAUUAGGAUCAUGACUGCAUGUAUUCAGAGGUGUCUGAUGGGUCUGAUAAAACAAUCAUAUACUUUGAAUAAUAUUAAAGACCAUACCAAUAAAUACUUGAUUACAAGGAAAAUGAUCAUUCCUUACAAUACAGUGUAGGACCUGUAAGGAAAUCCUGCACUGUAAUGACUAAGUAUGUGUGUCUUUCUUUAUGUAAUGUCCUAAAGAGAUCUUUAAUGAUAACCUA
Zootermopsis nevadensis is the source of this 2930-nucleotide non-coding RNA. The record is from RefSeq and is a predicted model, not a curated record. Lineage: Eukaryota; Metazoa; Arthropoda; Insecta; Blattodea; Termopsidae.